AGGAGGAGGUGGGCAGCUGACGGUACCGGUAUCCCGCAAGGGACCCGGCGCUGAGGAAAGUCCGCACUCCGGGGACCAGGGGGGUGGGCGCAAGCCCGCCGGGCGAGAGCCCGAGCUACGGAGCAGAAACGGCACAGCCGCGGGGUACGAGGAAUCGGGACAGCCGAGGAGAUUCCCCGCGGAAGUGGUGAAACGGCCGUCUCCCCCGGAGCAAGCCCGAAAGCGUGGCAUGAGCUCGGUCCCGCAACCACCGAGAUGGGCGCGCAGUCGAAUGCUGUCGGAACAGAAUGCGGCUUACGACCUCGACCU
Molecule: RNase P RNA, 309 nt
Filed under: Thermoplasmata archaeon
Lineage: Archaea; Methanobacteriati; Thermoplasmatota; Thermoplasmata
Also listed under: 1 other name
Description: RNase P RNA component
Rfam family: Archaeal RNase P
About the family: Ribonuclease P (RNase P) is a ubiquitous endoribonuclease, found in archaea, bacteria and eukarya as well as chloroplasts and mitochondria.
Source: RNAcentral